UUGUAAACCUCUGUCACUGGGGAAGAAACGCUUCAAGUUAACAGCUUGAAGCCUGACUUAACCCGGAGAGGAAGCAGUGGCUAACUCUGUGC
This 92-nucleotide ribosomal RNA is filed under the name uncultured bacterium. Its description in RNAcentral is "partial 16S ribosomal RNA". The record is from RNAcentral.